UUUUCUAAAAUGUGUUUUCGAGAUUUUUUGAUUUUUUAGAUUUUCCAUGUUUGAACACAGUUAUUCGAUUUUCCAAAUUCGAACACAGUUCUUCAUGGAGAGAGUGAGCUUCAAUUCGAAUGAGGAUCUCAUGCUCAACUUCACUCAUUUGAUCUGUUUCGUGAACUUGAAUGGUCUCAUGGCGAAGAAUAUUAAUAUUUUUGCUGUUUUUAUAUAUUGUUUCUAAUUUGAGACUCAUGAAAUGAUAAAGUUGUUUUGUUCUUGAAAACUCUCUGCUUAGCAACAUGGGCUCCAAAUUGUUGAUGUUGAUUGCUUGGUUUAUUGGUUUGAACCAUGGGUUCCAAACUGAGCAAGUACACAGAUCUGAACUGCCUUAACACAUAUUUGUUUGUGUUGGAUUUAAAUAGAUAAAAAAAAUUUUGAACAAACCACUCUAUCCUCUCUCCAAAAGGCUCAUAUUUGUUUAGAGAUCUAAAGCAGCAGAGAUCAGAAGUCGCCAUAAUGAAUGGCAGUGCUGCAGCGGUGGUGAAGUAGGCUAGGAUUUUAACGAGAGAGAGAGAGAGGGGACUGUGACAUUUCAGUGAAUCCACUUUGGAAUAGAGAGAGAGACCAGUAGCUUUGCCGCCACCGACAAUGGAGACAUCGAGCUCGGACAUGGUGGUGCCAUUGAUUCCGACAAGAAAACCAUUCCGGCAACGUGAUCAACGUGGCAGUGCAUUAUGUUGGGAGUUAGAUGAAUGGGAGUCCGCUGCGGCCAAUGAGUCUGGUGAUCGAAGAUAAUCUACAAAGAGAGAGGAACGUCAAUGGAAAAUAUGGGUAUUUUGCUCACUUUGCCUAAGCUUGUCUUUAUGGGCAAAGUAUUUUAGCUCCUAUAUCUUUCACUACAAGAAAUUAGUGCUUUAGGGACUAAUAUUUAGGGACCAAGUAAAUUUGGUCCCUAAAAAUAAUUUUUUACAGACAAAUUCAAAUUUGCAGUAAGAAUGCAAAAAUAGUUGUUAGUAUUAUCACUUUUGCACUUGGAUGCUAAGUUUAAUAUUCCCAUAUUUUUUUGAGACAAAUUAAUUUAGUAAUAACUAUACAAUUGACACUUUUAGAGACUAAAUAUUUGUCAUUAACAUUUAGGGACCAAAUAUUUCUACUCUCUUUCCCUAUUAAAAAGUCGGGCGGCAAUAGAACAGAACACACACACAUACAAAAAGUCGAGCCUCUCUCUGUUCAACCCUAAUUUCCCAAAUUCACUCUGUCUAGGACUCUAGCUUCAAUCGAUCUGAGAUCUGCAGCUUUAAUCGAUCUCAUUUUCAGGAUUGAUCUAGGACUCCUCUUGCCCUAACUUGCCAUGAUCGAUCUCAUUUUCAUGGCUCCAAUGCAAACCUGAGUUCUUUGGCUUCAAUUUGAAGUUUGAUAAAUGAUUUGUUAAGCCUCGAGGAGAUUACAUAGAGCUUCACAAGAGACAUGGCUAUCGCCCUGAUCACUUCGAGCACAAACGCAAGAAAGAGGCUCGCGAGGUUCAUACGCGAUCUCAGAUUGCUCAGAAGUCUUUGGGUAUCAAGGGUAAGAUGUUUGCUAAGAAACACUAUGCUGAAAAUGCCCAAAUGAAGAAAACGUGAGUGUCAUUCUUACAUUUACAUUGGUUUUCAUUUUAUUUGAAUAAUUCUAUACUCGUGAAUCCUGACUUUGAAUAUUUUUGAUAGAUGAAUGUGUAACUAUUGGUUCAUGCUCCCUCUUCUCUCAACAUGCCUUUGCAUUUUUUGCAAAAAUUUGAUGUGUAAUCUUAUAUCUGUUGCUUAUGCUAAUUGCCAACUACUUAAGACUAGCAUGUCCUGUUUGAUGCGCUGCAGCAUAUUCUCUAUACGAAGAAAGAGUUGUUCAUUUAUGAUGUUGGCUACAUAAUAAUGAUAUAACCACAAGUUGACUAGCAUAGGUCGUGUCCCCUACUUAAUUGAGGAAAGCUACACAGCUUCAAUAUUUUGUGAGAUUUGUAGUAAUGAACAACUCUGUUUAAGUAGAACUAUCAACUCUGUUUUUAAGUGUAUGAAACUUGUGGCCUAGUAUGUGGACUUUCAGAAAUUUAUUGCGCCUUAAUUGGUUCCUUGCCAUUUGGACGAGACUUUUUAAAAUAUGAACAUGUUUUCUAUUUUGUAAACAUUUCCAUGGUACUUUUAUGCUAUAUCCUUAUAUGUAAAAUUUAAAUUCAGGUUAUUCAUUUUUUGUGUAUUUUAUCUUCUUCAUGAGUAAUUUUAAUUGUUGUACACUAUUUGUUUUUAAAACAUCUAAAGAACCCACUUAUCUGUCUAAGUUGCAUUAAUUAUUGUCUUAAAAGGCAUACCUUCUCAUCCAUUCUUGGGUGUUCCUUUCAAAUUUGUUUGAGAGACUUUUGUGCAUUGGAGUUGUUUGGAGCCUUUUAUGUACGUACAAGGUAAUUAAUGGUUCCUAUCUCCUGGUUAGUUAUUUGUUCUUUUUCUAUUAUUCAAGCAAUUACACAUGGGCAUUGAAUUCAUUUCUAAACUUUUACUAAAUUUCAGUGACUAGUGUUUAACUUUCGGAACUGCUACAGAAUGCCAGAACCUAGUCACUGAGAUGCUUGGCACCACAGAUGAAAAUGAGCCCUUUCAGAAUCUCAGGGAUAUGGCAAUGACCAAGUUAGGUGAAGGCUGUCACUUGCUCAAGGAUAUAGUGCUGUCACACUGCCGAGAUCUCGGUCUAACCCAUCUUGUUAACAAAUGCACCAUGCUCGAAUCCUGCCACAUGGUUUAUUGUCCAGGCAUUAACUGUGAUUUCUAAUUGUAUCGGGAUAAAGAAGAUCCUGGUUGAGAAGUGGAAGGUUAGCCAGAGGACCAAACGGAGGGCAGAUGGUAUGAGGUAUCUAUAAUAGAAUUGGGCCCUAAUUCAAGACUCUACCAGUGCUCAAGAGAGAACACAAUUUCUUCAAGAGAAAGCGAGAAACCCGAAACCCUUGAAAUCGACUCCUUCAAAUCGUCUUUCUGAUGGAGAACACAAAGACGAAGCACAAACCCUAAGUCGAAACAGAUGAAGCUGAAACCCCCCUAAACCCCACACACGAACCCUAAGAGUAAGCAAGCAAAUGAAUAAGAUGAAGCUUCAGAUUGCUGAAAAUUAAUCACGUAUCUUCAAAUCCAGGUCUUUAUUUUUAUGAAAUCAUUUUUCUCAUGAUAGAGAAUUACUUCAAAUUGCUUGAGAUUAGUUGAGAUUGCCCGAAAUUUGUUUGAGAUUUGUUUGAAAUCUAUUUAGACUUGUUAAA
This is a non-coding RNA of Camellia sinensis, 3259 nucleotides long. The record is from RefSeq and is a predicted model, not a curated record. Lineage: Eukaryota; Viridiplantae; Streptophyta; Magnoliopsida; Ericales; Theaceae.